RNAcentral lists this long non-coding RNA (211 nucleotides) under Physcomitrium patens. RNAcentral's name for it is "long non-coding RNA (PPAT_LNC013120)". Lineage: Eukaryota; Viridiplantae; Streptophyta; Bryopsida; Funariales; Funariaceae. The record is from RNAcentral.
CACACACAGCUCUCAAUAAAUAACAAUCAUAAUCUUUCAAUAACUCUUCAUAUAAUUCAAUCAUUCAGUACUCCAAUUACAUAAUCAAUAACUCAUAAAUCAAUCUUUGGUUUAUUCCACAAACUCACUUCUUAGUAUUCAAAAACUAUCCAUUACUCUUCAAUAACAAAGAAACAAAGAGACAAAGAUGUAGAGAGAUAGCACCAAGCUU